Long non-coding RNA from Brassica oleracea var. oleracea, 653 nucleotides. RefSeq lists it as uncharacterized. Lineage: Eukaryota; Viridiplantae; Streptophyta; Magnoliopsida; Brassicales; Brassicaceae. The transcript is spliced from 3 exons. The record is from RefSeq and is a predicted model, not a curated record.
UUUCUCUUCUUUCUGAUAAACUGUAACUUUCUAAAAAAAAAAAACCUUCCUCAUAUCUGUUUCCAGAUUCUACUCUUUUUUUUUCUCUGUUCUGUUUCCAGAGCAACACGAGAAAAACAAAAUUUGAUCUUUUGGUGGUUUGAUUUUUUUCAGAAGAAUCAGAACAAUGAUUUUGUUGUGAGCUAUCUCUAUAGGAUUGGAGGAGGCAAGGCGUACUUCCAUGGAGAUGGAAGAUAUAUGUAAUGCGGUUGUCGUGUGCAAGAGGAGAUGUCUCGAGCUCGCAUCCGUCUCGACCCGUCAUCACCGGUCUCGAGCUUGCCCCAGUCACCACCGGUCUCGAGCUUUGCCCCCGUCACCGUCGGUCUCAAGCUUGCCCCUGUCACCACCGGUCUCGAACUCGUCCGGUGCUGGGGAUGGAGACAGAACAGAGAAAGACAUCGAGAAGAGAGGCAAAGGAGGAAGGAGGAAGCGGCAGCAAAUAGAUUAGGUUUAGGGUUAAUUAGGUUUAGGUUAAUUAUGUUUUGGUUAAUUAGAUUUGGGUUUAAUGUUUUUAAUUAGGUUUCUUCGUUAUUUGAAGUACUCCAAAAUUACCGAGUUUGUUUACAGAUAUCCAACAUUUCUGAUCUCGCAUAACAAAAUGAUGUUCUUGGCUA